Molecule: long non-coding RNA, 1680 nt
Organism: Tyto alba (common barn owl)
Lineage: Eukaryota; Metazoa; Chordata; Aves; Strigiformes; Tytonidae
Exons: 7
Source: RefSeq, a predicted model, not a curated record
CGGGAGGGGCCCUCACUUCUGGGAGUGUGGCAGCUGUGCCGGCUUUGUGUUCGGGAUUGCUGGCUGGGAGCAGGAAGGAGUGAGCCGGGAGGGGCUCUCACUUCUGGGAGUGUGGCAGCUGUGCCUUUGUGUUCGGGGUUGCCGUCUGGGAGCAGGCAGCUGGUGAGCAACUGUACUGUACUGAACGAUUUCCUGAUACAGUGAAGACUGUAAGAUGUAGCCUGGCACUUCUGCUACUUUUGAGAAAUUUCUCAAAUACCAGAUGUGGAAGAUUACUACUGUAUACUCAACCAGAGUAAAGGUAGAAAAAAAGGCAAAUCUGCUCAGGUGUCCAGACCAAACUUGCAGACUCCUAAUUACAAAUUCCCAUGCUGGGGCACAUAAAAAUAUAAACAAUACAAAAGACUUUCACUUUGGACACGUGACCAGGACAUAAAUAUUGACACGAAAAAAAGAUUCAGGACUGGAACAAUGCAAGAGCAACACUGACUUGUUGCUUCUCUGAGUUUCUGGCAUCCUCUCAUUCUCAUGGAGUAGGAGCCAGCACUGAGGACUUCCCUGGCCAUGGACCUGAAGCUGAGCUGGGCUCAGCCUCCAGAGAGCAGAGACUUCUCAGGGAGCCAUGGAGACACUUUACAGCCUCUUGCUAAAACAAGAACCCCUCGCAGCUCUGCUUGCUUCAGCGUUCUGGGCUUCCGGGAUCCUGCCCAUCCCAGAGUCAGCCUGAAGGUGCAUGCCCUGGAAGAAGAGAGUGCCAGGUGGCUGUUCCCAGGUGAAUGCCAGCAGUGACACGAUGCUCCCCGCUGCUGCUGCUCCCCUCUGCAGCCCCCAUCUCACCCGGGCUACGCUGCAUACCUGCAGGCGCUGGGGAAAAGUACUGGGUCUCGCAGCAUAUUAAAACUUUGCUAUCAAGGGCCUGUCGGUAGCUUCUAAUGAAUGAGAUGAAAGAAAGCCUCAGAAGGCAAAGAGAAGAAGAUGAAAAGCAAGAGAAUAUUGAUUGUAAUAUGAAGAAUGGAGAUUGGUUAUUACCAGAUACUGCCAAUGUGGUUUUCAUUUUUUUGUGACAAGGGACAUAAGCAGCUUUUAUCUGGGCAUUUGGUCCUCUCCUCCAAUUAAGAAGGGAAGUUGUCUUUGCUUUAAAAUUUGCUUUUGAUGAAUUUAAACCUAACUCUGAUCAGAGAUGUGUCCCUACAUCAAACUCAAUGACAUGUGUCAUUGGUUGUGACAAGGUGUCUAUGAAAUGAUGAGGCAAUUAUAACUGGAUAGGUGAGUAAUGCAUGUAGAGAGAAAGAAUUGCAGCAAACCCUCUGUGACCACUAUUCAAGAAGUAAUGAACGUAGGUAUGAGCAGAAAGCUUAGGAUCCUGAUGCUUUACCAGAAAAUUAGUGAAAUGGCAAGUAUAGCAAGUUUGAUUUCUUCAUGACCUCUUCCAAACACCUUUGAAUUCUUCACAAUCUUGUCUGUUAUUUGUCUGUAUCUUUGCACUUACCAUGUUCUCUUAUGUUUUGUUAAAAGGGAGAAAAAAAAUAAAAUAAUUUUCCCCCAGUAACUCAUGAGCACAAUUUUGCUGCAUCAGCUUUGUAAUAAGGUGGCUUUGGGAAAUAACUGACAGUAUAUUUCUCCUGCUGUAUUUAGGUGAAAAUCAGUUGAGCCUCUUAACUGAAAUGUUUUAAGCUUGUC